AAAGUGCCCUUCUCUCUGGAUGAGAAUGCAGACCUAACUUUGAAAUUCUCAUAAUCCAGAGACACCCCUCCAACCAGGUGUUGAAAAUGAUGACUAUCCCUUUAACAGGCCACACUGAAGGCCUGCACAGCAGGCCCUUGUCAGAGAAUCUUGUUGCAAGGCUUCCAGGCGUGAGUUGUAAAUCAAUUAUAAACCACACCUGCCCAAGCCUUGAUGCAAACCAUUGAUAUUUAAUGGUCUAAUGGUCAUCCUCCACAUUGAGGCUUGUUCCUGAAUUAAGGCAUCUGGACAAAGUUUUCCGAAGUUCAUCCACCAUAUAAAAUGCAUUCUCCUACAAGUUAUGAGAGACUUACACUGCCUUCAUCUUAUAGGGGUUGCACACAAACUGCUGCUGGAACAGUGAGUGAUGCCACUGCCGAACAGCCGUGUAGAGAAACCGGAUUAUCCUCCGACCUUCAGUUCCAUAUCUACACAACGGAGGGGAAAAACCUACAUCUCAGAGAGACUGUGACACUCAGGGAUAAACCCCCUCUGGCUCAAGUCAUAAAUGACAAUACAAGAUUUGUUUUCUGUGGAAAAGCCCUAGUACAGCCAUAUGGGUAUUUCUGGCCCAAGAAGUUGGGCCUGGGAGGACAGACCUGGCCUGGCCAUCCUCCAGACCCUGCGAAGGACUCUUCUGUGACAGAGAAGGAGUAUUCCAUGGUCUAUAAUCCAUGUGAACAGAUGUACAAUGGGAAGCAUCUUUGUUAUUCCAACCCUGGGGGAAUUUCUUUCACCAACCUGCAGCAGAGGCCUUAA
Molecule: long non-coding RNA, 798 nt
Filed under: Aotus nancymaae (Ma's night monkey)
Lineage: Eukaryota; Metazoa; Chordata; Mammalia; Primates; Aotidae
Description: lncRNA (ENSANAG00000039095.1)
Source: RNAcentral